UACGUAGGCAGCAAGCGUUGUUCGGAGUUACUGGGCGUAAAGAGUGCGUAGGCGGUGCUCUAAGUUUGGUGUGAAAUCUCCCGGCUUAACUGGGAGGGUGCGCCGAAAACUGGAGUGCUUGAGUAUGGGAGAGGCAAGCGGAAUUCCUGGUGUAGCGGUGAAAUGCGUAGAUAUCAGGAGGAACACCUGUGGUGUAGACAGCUUGCUGGACCAUCACCGACGCUGAGGCACGAAAGCGUGGGUAGCAAACAGG
Molecule: ribosomal RNA, 253 nt
Filed under: uncultured prokaryote
Description: partial 16S ribosomal RNA
Rfam family: Bacterial small subunit ribosomal RNA
Source: RNAcentral